CCUACGGGAGGCAGCAGUGGGGAAUAUUGCACAAUGGGGGAAACCCUGAUGGAGCAACACCGCGUGAGUGAAGAAGGGUUUCGGCUCGUAAAGCUCUGUUGUUGGAGAGGAACGUGCGUGAGAGUAACUGUUCACGCAGUGACGGUAUCCAACCAGAAAGUCACGGCUAACUACGUGCCAGCAGCCGCGGUAAUACGUAGGUG
Molecule: ribosomal RNA, 203 nt
Filed under: uncultured bacterium
Lineage: Bacteria
Description: partial 16S ribosomal RNA
Rfam family: Bacterial small subunit ribosomal RNA
Source: RNAcentral